RNAcentral lists this ribosomal RNA (330 nucleotides) under Triticum aestivum (bread wheat). RNAcentral's name for it is "partial small subunit ribosomal RNA". The record is from RNAcentral. Lineage: Eukaryota; Viridiplantae; Streptophyta; Magnoliopsida; Poales; Poaceae.
AUGGCGCCAAUCGUCAAGAUGGUGCCACGGAGGAUGGCGACACGGAGCUCGCCAAGACGACGCCCGUCCUUUUCUUCACUAACCUGGUGCCGCAUGGACUUCGCAAGGACGUCACCAGCCGUCUACUUCGUCAUGCUAGAGCAGGAGGACGGAGCCGUGGAGCUCCCAAGGAUGCCGCCGCCGUGCCGCGGUGGAUGGCGGCAAGAGCUCGCCAAGAUGACGCCAAUGCCGACCUCAUCAAGCCAGUGCCAUGGAGGAUGGAGGUCUGGAGCUCGUGAAGACACCGCCUCUGUGCUGCAGUUAAUGGCCACACGGAGCUCGCUAGGAUGA